AGGAUUCUCCUGCCUCAGCCUCCCAAGUAGCUGGGAUUACAGUUUCCAUCAUUAUCUUCUAUGGAGUUCUUCAUUCCCACAUCUGUGGACCUUAAAAUCCUACCGUUGAGUGCCUGCCUUGGAUCAGCAGUCAGUUCGUUACCUUGGUUCUCAGACGAUGCUUGCAACAACGCCAUGCGAUUCGCCCACUCUUGGAGAAAAUAAGAGAAGUAUCCCUGAAGGAUGAAAUAUCCUCGAAUAUGAAAAGGUCUGCUCUCUGAAGACCAACUGUCUCAGUCUGCUUUUUGCUGCUGUAACAGAAUACCACAGACUUGUAGGCAGAGAAGCCUUCAGAGAAGGAUCCUGACUCGGUGGUUUGUGCAGUGACAUUUGGCAGUGUUUUCUCGGCAAGCGAGUCUUUGAGGCUGCCCUCAUGCUGCUCAGUGGGCACACCAAGAACAAGAGCUGGCCAGGGAUGACGGACGCAUCUAGGCCUUCUCGGCCUAAGG
Molecule: long non-coding RNA, 488 nt
Filed under: Homo sapiens (human)
Lineage: Eukaryota; Metazoa; Chordata; Mammalia; Primates; Hominidae
Description: non-protein coding LINC01128:86
Source: RNAcentral